Molecule: ribosomal RNA, 523 nt
Filed under: uncultured bacterium
Lineage: Bacteria
Description: bacterial SSU rRNA
Rfam family: Bacterial small subunit ribosomal RNA
Source: RNAcentral
AGAGUUUGAUCCUGGCUCAGGAUGAACGCUAGCGACAGGCCUAACACAUGCAAGUCGAGGGGCAGCACAUGCGUAGCAAUACAAUGGUGGCGACCGGCGCACGGGUGAGUAACACGUAUGCAACCUACCUGUAAGAGGGGAAUAACCCGGAGAAAUUCGGAUUAAUACCGCAUAAAACUGUGAAUCCGCAUGGAUUUACAUUUAAACAUUUAUGGCUUACAGAUGGGCAUGCGUAUGAUUAGCUAGUUGGUGAGGUAACGGCUCACCAAGGCAACGAUCAUUAGGGGUUCUGAGAGGAAGGUCCCCCACACUGGUACUGAGACACGGACCAGACUCCUACGGGAGGCAGCAGUGAGGAAUAUUGGUCAAUGGGCGAGAGCCUGAACCAGCCAAGUCGCGUGAAGGAAGAAGGUUCUAUGGAUUGUAAACUUCUUUUGUAAGGGAAUAAAAAGAGUUACGUGUAACUUAUUGUAUGUACUUUACGAAUAAGGAUCGGCUAACUCCGUGCCAGCAGCCGCGGUAA